UUACUUGACAACAAUCAGGAGACACAGACCAGCAGGGGAGGAUCAUGAUCAGAUCUUUUGGGAAUGAUUCCUUGAGCCACAUGUAGAAAAUUUUACAGAAAUGAAAAGGACCGAAGACUGAAACCCAUUGGCAACCUAACCUUCAGUAACUCAGGUCACCAGAUCUAAGAGAAUGGCAGUGGGGAUAAAGAUAAGAGAUUCAAAAAGUGUUUAGAAAGAGUCAUCAAGAGGAUUUGGUGAUAAAUUUGAUGUGGAGGGCAAGAGGGAAGAGACAAAGAUGACUCCAGGUUUCAGUCCUGUGCAGCUGCGUGGGCCACAAUGCCACUCACUGUGGUGGAAAGCAAUGGAUGAGAAGCCAGAGUGAGGGUGAAGUGGCAUCCUGCCUUGGUAAAUGCCAUCUUCCACCAUGCCUUAUCCUAACAGGAAUACAAAGGACCCCACUGCCAGUGAACGCACUUUCUCCUCCAGAAGGCAAGAGCACACAUUUUCUAUUUAAAAUCACUGACAUUUCCUCUUCUUUCUUCAACAACUUCCUCCUGUUCUGCCACGGGAUUUCCUCCCACCUGCAUCUGUGUCCACAUAUGCUGGCAUCCAUCCAAUCUCAGUGGAAGAAAUGUACCUCCUCUUUAUGGUACCUCUCUUCUUGAGCCCUAAGUUCUUCUUGCAAAUUCUCAGGGAGUUUGUACCAUUACUGAUUUUUGUCCAGAAGGGAAAAAAAAUCAUCUUUUUCUUCCUUUUUGUGGGCUGGUUUCCUCCUAUAUGUUAUUACCCAUCUCAGGAAGCAAACUCCCAGCUCUUCAAAGUCAUCAGUAUUGUCUUUAUUCCAGUCUUUACUUUCUCAUCUUAGGCUCCCUCCCUAUUCUGUCCUCUAGCUCCUCUCUACUUUCUCAUAGUAGUGAGGUUCUUUUCCUCACUACUCUACCACAAGAGCUGUCAGCAAGGUCACCGACAUAGGUAUAUCCUGUAAAAGGUGGGGCGAUUUAUCUGCACCAUCUUCCAGCAGCAAUGGUCCAUAACUCCCUCCUCAUUCAGACCACACUACCUGGUGAAUGUUUUCCCGAUGCCAGCCACAGUUCUAAUCCUUGGGGACACAUCAGUGAAUUAAAAAGACAAAGAUCCCUGCCUUUUAUGAACCUAAAUUCUAGCAGGGGGAACAGUUAACAAGCAAAAAUCAAUAAUUAAAUUCUGUGUUACGUUAGAUGGCAGUAAGGGCCAUGGAGAAGGGAAAAGGUACACACAUAUAGUAAUAGCUUUGGGGAAUUCCCUUUUCAACACAUAGUUAUCACUAUAACAACACCCUAUAUGACAAUAUUGACAAUGAAAUUAAAUUAUAGAAGAGUCUAUAGCCCCACAUAAUAAAAAUCAAUCAUAUUUCAUUUGCUGUCUUUCUUUGUAAAUUAUUUUAUUUUAUUUAUUCUUAUUAGUUAUAUAUGACAGUAGAAUGCAAUUCAAUUCAUAUUACACAAAUAGAGCACAGUUUUUCAUGUCUCUGGUUGAACACAAAGUAGAAUCACACCAUUCAUGUUUUCAUAUAUGUACUUAGGGUAAUGAUGUCCAUCUCAUUCCACCGUCUUUCCUACCGCUAUACACCUUCCUUCCCCUCCCUCCUCUUUCCCUAUAUAAAGUUUGUCUAGUCCUCCUAUGCUUUCCACACAUUAUGAAUCAGCAUCCUUAUAUCAGAGAAGAUGUUUGGCAUUUGGUUUUUUGGGAUUGGCUUAGUUCCUUUAGCAUUAUAUUCUCAACUCCAUCCCUUUACCUGCAAAGGCCAUGAUUUUAUUCUCUUUUAAUGCUGAGUAAUAUUCCAUUGUGUAUAUGUACCACAUUUUCUUUAUCAAUUCAUCUAUGGAAGGGUAUCUAGGUUGGGACCACAAUUUAACUAUUGUGAAUGGUGCUGCUAUAAACAUUGAUGUGGCUGUGCCCCUGUUGUAUGCUGUUUUUAAGUCCUUUGGGUAUAAACUGAGGAGAGGGAUCAUUUGCCAUCUUUCUUUCUUUCUUUCCUUUUUUUUUGAGAGAGAGAGAGAAUUUUAAUAUUUAUUUUUUAGUUUUCAGCGGACACAACAUCUUUGUUUGUAUGUGGUGCUGAGGAUCGAACCCCGGCCACACACAUGCCAGGCGAGCGUACUACUGCUUGAGCCACAUCCACAGCCCAUUUGCUGUCUUUCUUAAGUCAGUUGUCU
Molecule: long non-coding RNA, 2177 nt
Filed under: Marmota monax (woodchuck)
Lineage: Eukaryota; Metazoa; Chordata; Mammalia; Rodentia; Sciuridae
Source: RNAcentral